Molecule: long non-coding RNA, 692 nt
Organism: Cucurbita pepo subsp. pepo (vegetable marrow)
Lineage: Eukaryota; Viridiplantae; Streptophyta; Magnoliopsida; Cucurbitales; Cucurbitaceae
Source: RefSeq, a predicted model, not a curated record
GAAGUCCGGUGCUGCUAGCUUCGAUGGCGGGAACCAACGAUCUAAGGAAACGCCAUUGAAACGCCGAAGAAGAGGGAGGAAGCGAGAUUUGGUAGACUGGCGUGAUGAACAAAAAUCAGUAAUGUCUUUUCAACAGCCAUGCCUCAAAUGCGCUUCGAGGCCUUGUGCAAUGGAUGAGCAUCAAUGAAGCACGGCGAGGCCUUGUUUUAGGUUUUGCAUUUUCUUAUUCGAAUUUUCGUGUCUCUCAUUUCGUUCUGAUCAUCACGUUUUAUUUUCAGGACAUGAAUUUGAGAAAACUUCUUCCAUUUUCAAUGUUGAUUUACUCUGCUAUUGGCAUCUGAUUUCCUUCCGAUUGUCAAGUUUUUGCAUAUGAAUUUGAAGGAUCUUUUACAUUUUCAAUAUUCAAUCGGUUCGAUCUCGGAGCCGAUGAUUUAUGGACGCUUGUACUGCGGGCGUUUCUAUUCGAAAGGAAACGCCGAAGAACGGAGAGAGGAAUUGGCAAUGUUUUCUCAGGAGCCAAUCCCCAAAUGAGCUUCGAGGCCUUGUAAAAAAUGGAUGACUGUCGAUGAAGCCGGUCGAGUUCUUGUUUUAGACUCAAAAACAUUGAAAGAAUAGAAGACAGAGGAAUCAAUUGGAUGGGCCGCUGAUGUCAAAGAUCCAAGCGAGCUCUCACAUCCAAAACGCUAAAUAAG